UACGUAGGGGGCAAGCGUUGUCCGGAAUCAUUGGGCGUAAAGAGCGUGUAGGCGGUCAGGUAGGUCUGCUGUGAAAACUCGAGGCUCAACCUCGAGACGUCGGCGGAAACCAUCUGGCUAGAGUCCGGAAGAGGAGAGUGGAAUUCCUGGUGUAGCGGUGAAAUGCGCAGAUAUCAGGAAGAACACCCGUGGCGAAGGCGGCUCUCUGGGACGGUACUGACGCUGAGACGCGAAAGCGUGGGGAGCGAACAGG
Molecule: ribosomal RNA, 253 nt
Filed under: uncultured bacterium
Lineage: Bacteria
Description: partial 16S ribosomal RNA
Rfam family: Bacterial small subunit ribosomal RNA
Source: RNAcentral